AGAGUUUGAUCCUGGCUCAGGACGAACGCUGGCGGCGUGCCUAAUACAUGCAAGUAGAACGCUGAAGAGAGGAGCUUGCUCUUCUUGGAUGAGUUGCGAACGGGUGAGUAACGCGUAGGUAACCUGCCUGGUAGCGGGGGAUAACUAUUGGAAACGAUAGCUAAUACCGCAUAAAAUGGAUUAUCGCAUGAUAAUUCAUUGAAAGGUGCAAAUGCAUCACUACCAGAUGGACCUGCGUUGUAUUAGCUAGUUGGUGGGGUAACGGCUCACCAAGGCAACGAUACAUAGCCGACCUGAGAGGGUGAUCGGCCACACUGGGACUGAGACACGGCCCAGACUCCUACGGGAGGCAGCAGUAGGGAAUCUUCGGCAAUGGACGGAAGUCUGACCGAGCAACGCCGCGUGAGUGAAGAAGGUUUUCGGAUCGUAAAGCUCUGUUGUAAGAGAAGAACGAGUGUGAGAGUGGAAAGUUCACACUGUGACGGUAUCUUACCAGAAAGGGACGGCUAACUACGUGCCAGCAGCCGCGGUAAUACGUAGGUCCCGAGCGUUGUCCGGAUUUAUUGGGCGUAAAGCGAGCGCAGGCGGUUAGAUAAGUCUGAAGUUAAAGGCUGUGGCUUAACCAUAGUACGCUUUGGAAACUGUUUAACUUGAGUGCAAGAGGGGAGAGUGGAAUUCCAUGUGUAGCGGUGAAAUGCGUAGAUAUAUGGAGGAACACCGGUGGCGAAAGCGGCUCUCUGGCUUGUAACUGACGCUGAGGCUCGAAAGCGUGGGGAGCAAACAAGAUUAGAUACCCUGGUAGUCCCCGCCGUAAAC
This 816-nucleotide ribosomal RNA is filed under the name uncultured bacterium. RNAcentral describes it as "bacterial SSU rRNA". It matches the Rfam family "Bacterial small subunit ribosomal RNA", at positions 8 to 807 of the family's 1533-position model. The record is from RNAcentral.